RNAcentral lists this ribosomal RNA (439 nucleotides) under uncultured bacterium. Its description in RNAcentral is "partial 16S ribosomal RNA". It matches the Rfam family "Bacterial small subunit ribosomal RNA", at positions 339 to 795 of the family's 1533-position model. The record is from RNAcentral.
CUACGGGAGGCUGCAGUGGGGAAUAUUGCACAAUGGAGGAAACUCUGAUGCAGCAACGCCGCGUGGAGGAUGACACUUUUCGGAGCGUAAACUCCUUUUAUAUAGGAAGAAGAUGACGGUACUAUAUGAAUAAGCGCCGGCUAACUCCGUGCCAGCAGCCGCGGUAGUACGGAGGGCGCAAGCGUUACUCGGAAUCACUGGGCGUAAAGAGCGUGUAGGCGGAUUAAAAAGUCAGAAGUGAAAUCCUAUAGCUUAACUAUAGAACUGCUUCUGAAACUCUUAAUCUAGAAUAUGGGAGAGGUAGAUGGAAUUUCUGGUGUAGGGGUAAAAUCCGUAGAGAUCAGAAGGAAUACCGAUUGCGAAGGCGAUCUACUAGAACAUUAUUGACGCUGAGACGCGAAAGCGUGGGGAGCAAACAGGAUUAGAUACCCGGGUAGUC